Molecule: ribosomal RNA, 486 nt
Filed under: uncultured bacterium
Lineage: Bacteria
Description: partial 16S ribosomal RNA
Rfam family: Bacterial small subunit ribosomal RNA
Source: RNAcentral
ACUCAAAGGAAUAGACGGGGGCCCGCACAAGCAGCGGAGCGUGUGGUUUAAUUCGAUGUUACACGAAGAACCUUACCUGGGUUUGACAUAUACGUGGUAGAGAACUGAAAAGGGAUCGACCCUUCGGGGAGCGUAUACAGGUGUUGCAUGGCUGUCGUCAGCUCGUGUCGUGAGAUGUCCGGUUAAGUCCGGUAACGAGCGCAACCCCUGCCGUGUGUUACAAGUGUCGCACGGGACUGCCGGUAUCAAGCCGGAGGAAGGUGGGGAUGAUGUCAAGUCAGCAUGACCUUUAUAUCCAGGGCUACACACACGCUACAAUGGCCGGUACAACAGGUUUGCAAGACCGCAAGGUGGAGCCAAUCCUCAAAAUCGGCCUCAGUUCAGAUUGCAGGCUGCAACCCGCCUGCAUGAAGUCGGAGUUGCUAGUAACCGCGCGUCAGCAUUAGUGCGGUGAAUACGUUCCCGGGCCUUGUACACACCGCCCGU